Molecule: long non-coding RNA, 7565 nt
Filed under: Sorghum bicolor (sorghum)
Lineage: Eukaryota; Viridiplantae; Streptophyta; Magnoliopsida; Poales; Poaceae
Description: long non-coding RNA (SBIC_LNC011396)
Source: RNAcentral
CACGAAGGCCGGUCUCAGCAAGGUGAACGCAAGAAGGGGAAAUCUUCGGUCUUGGCGAGGCUCACCGGUGCUGACGGCGCCACGGGCUCGGCGAGGGCGCGGUGGUCGAUGGGGAGCUCCGGGCGGCGUCGCGAGCUCUGGGGGCGGAGCGGUCGGCGUGGCCGAGGACGAGGCGCGGCUGCGACGGGCUCGCCACGAGCUUGGUCCGUGGCGUCGCGGUUGCAGGCGAUGUCGACGUCGCGAGCGCAGAGCGAACCGGUGGCGGAGACGGUGCCACGGCAGCACAGCUUCGGGACGAGGCCAUGGCGCGGUCGUGGGUGGCUUCGGUGUGGUCGUGCUCUGUGACGUCCGCGGCGAGCUCGUCGGCGAGGUGACGCAGUGGCGCUGGGCGGAGGGAGAAGGAGCAGAGGGAGGUGACUUGCGGCCGCUGGAUCGCGAAUGCUCCAAGCAGCCGCGUGCUCGCGCAGAGUGGCCGUCGCGAGGCUCGGGCGCAGGGGAAGGGGCGCGGGGGCGAGGUCGCGGCCACGGUCGCCGGGGUUCGGCCGGUUGACGUCGUCGCUGCCAUGUCGUGGUGGUUCGUCGUGGCGCCGGAGGUGGAGGUCGAGUUCGCAGCGCGGCGGCGCUGCUUGGGAGCAGAGGAGAAAGGGGAGGGCGGUGGCGUCGCGGGGAAGAAGAGGAGAGCGGCGGCUCGGGCUCUUAUAGCGCGGGCGCUAGGGCUUCGGGGUAGGGCGACCAUCCUCGGCGUCCGUGCCGUGGGCGGGCCGCGUGGCGUGAAUCGCGAGGCGCGCGUCGAGGGGAGAGGGGCAGGUGCGCGCAGAGGCACGGGUGCAGGUGGCGCGGGCGCGCCUCUGUCCACCCCGGAGCGGUGGCGGCGGCGCCUAAGGAGCAGCUGCUCCCUAGGGUUCAGGUGAGGGCGCGCCUGGUGGGCUGGGCCGCGCGCGGGAUGGGCUAGGCGGUGCACUUGCGAGCUGGGCUGGCGGCGGCGCCUGUUGGGCCGAGGCAAGGAGGGGGGUAGGGAGCAGGCCAGCUGGGCCGCGAGAAGAAAUGGAGGGAGAUUCGGCCCAAGAGAAAUGAAAAAGGAAAUCCUCCAUUUAUGAGCAAGGGAAUUUGAGGGAGAUUCAAAUAUAUAGAUAUGGAAUCGGACUCGAAGGAAUACGAUAGAGAUUCGAGAGGACUUUGCUACGGAUUUGUGCACUCCAAACCCUAAUUAAGACUCAACUCCAAAUCGACUCACGAACAAAGGCACUCGUCUACAAACAAAUCUUUAUGUAUGCCAUGAUUUGUUAGCGAGUUAGGAUCGAUUUAGACUUAAAAACUAUAUGCUUCACACGAUUACAGGAAAAUUUUUUAAAAAGCUCGUAUUUUUGGUUUUCGUAAAAAAUCUGGGUUGUUACAGUCCACCCUCCAUACAGGAAUCUCGUCCCCGAGAUUAAGACGUUGCUCGGUUGGUGAAGAGGCGAGGGUGUCGUUCCCAAAGCUUUUCUUAUUUCUGAGUUGUUUCACUUUCAGUACGAUCGCUCCAAAAACCUUUUCCAAAAUGGGAGUGAGUCAUGUUCCGGGUAUAUCCAAGGCUCAGUCGUGGGUGCUGGGUAUCCAAAAUUCGCACCGGGUUUAUGAACAUCUAGCUCUCAAAGUGUGCAGGGCAGGCUUAAACAUAGCUAGGGUUGUUGGCUUUCACAGUUGUUUUUCAUGCAUCACUUUUUGCAAAAAGCUUUUGAGAGAAAGAUUUUUCAGAAAAACAGGCUUCAAAAUUAGAGUGAAGGCGCUUUUACAAAGUCAAGUUUUUGAGACUUCAAAAUGAAGAGAGCUUUUGAAGAGGGUUGAAAUUGAUGCAAGUUUUGAAAACCGAAUCUUUUGAUAUAUUCUUUUUGAGUGAUUUCAAUCAGGAGGGUUGAAACUCAUUUAUUUUAUUAUUAUUAUUUUAUUAUUUUUUAUUUUUUUUUUUGAAACUUGUAAGUUCUUUCUAUUUUUGCUAAAAAAUUUUUCUUUGAAAGGUUGCAACAAAAUCUUUUCGCAACAAUUUAUUUUAGUUAAUAAAUCAGUUAGAGAUUUUUUUUAAGGUAAGGUUGAUUUUUGAAAGGAAUUUGGCUCUCGAGGUAAAAUCAAAGGCCUUUAAAACAAAACUGAGCCAAAAUCUUUGGUUGAAAAUCCACUUUGUUGGUUGAAGGCAAAACUUUUGAUUUUCAGAAGAGGGUUGGUGACACCUUUUGAAAGAUAACUUAUUUUUAAAUCAUUUCAUAAAAAGAGUUUGAAUGAAAUUGAGUUGAGAAGGGAGUUAAAGUUGCUUUCUUUUUAAAAAGGAAAACCAUAAGAGAGUUUUGAAACACUUUUCCAUUUGAAACCAAGAUGUUUUUGUAAAAGAGGGAAACUUUUUCAACCAAAAAAGGAGGCAAUUUUGAAGAUAUGUUUUGUUGAAAGCCGAAAGUUGUUUUGAAACAGAUGGGCAAGACAUGAUGCAUCAGCUUUACCUUACUUUUAAGUCAGUUAGUCAAGGUCACUUAUCUAGUCUCGGGACGGUCUUAGGUUUAGCCGACUAGGUUGAACGGGAUCCAGAGUCUUUCCCGCAUAAAACAAGUUCUAUGACCUACACUCAGACAACAAGAAGCAGAAGAAAUGCAACAACAUAAGACCCAAGCACUCAAACAGCAUUACCACUCCUAAUGCAUAGUGUUGACUUGAGGCGACUCUCAGACCUUCAAAGUCUCACACAACUAUCGAUCUAGCGUGGGCGGGUAUGGGGAAAGAUUCCAACGGUCAACUUUAUGAAAUAGGAAGUCAGUUAGCAGCAGAAUUCAAGGCGGAGGGGGAAAACAAGUGUUAGCACCUAUAACUCUACAAAAGAUAGAAUGUUUGGCUACUAAACUAGUGUUUGGUACUAAUGGUCUCGUCCUAGGGUCAAGUAUGGCUCUGAUACCAACUGAAACGACCUAGAUUUUUCCACAAAGGGAAAAAUCCACAGAUUCGAAUUAUAAUGUGAUAGUUCGGAAAUUGAUCCAUCACAUUAUCAUAUAUCAGCUGUUAUCAUAGUCAUACAUCGUGAAAAACAAGAUUACAACACAUUUACUUUACAACUCUUGGUCAACAAGCCUAUUACAUCAUUUUUCUAGCGAAAACACACGCGAGUCUUUAUCAGAGUCGAUGUAGCGCGUCAACGGUGAAGGCUCCUCCUUCACGGGCAAUCAUCAGAGUCGGCGUAGUUGAUCAGCGGGCGUAGCCUUCAUCUCCGAACCAAACUUGAGCGCAGGAACGAGACCACCUAAUCCUUCUAUUCUCCGUAGUUAUAGUCAUAGACCAUGUUCAACCUGAUAAACAAUUUUCAGUACGAUUUGUACUGGCCACUGGCUCCCACCCUAUGCUUUUGCGUAAGCUUUGUGGUAAGUGGAAUGCAAAGGGUAGAUCAAGAGGCCUAUAUAUAUGGCUGUAGUUUUUCCUAUGUAAGUUCAUCAAAAUUUUAUAAUAAUAAUUCAUCAAGUUUUAUUCCAUCUCAUCCUCACAUCCGUCCAUCCAUCCCAUCACACACAUCUCACCACACUCUCACUCUCUAGGCGGCAAGUACGACUCCCGCUCGUGCCUUGCCUCAACGGCCAACGCCGGAUCCAACACAACCCAGGGGAAGGUAGAAAGGACUCCUCUCACUAGUCAAGCGAAGCGGAACAUAGGAAAGGUCCAUAGCCGAGAAAACGGCAUAUGUAUCGAUCGAUCAACCAAACUAUGCAGAGGUUUACACUAACCACAAGAUCACCAUCAUCGACGAACCGGCUCGUCUAGGCUGAUACCGGGCUGCCUUCCAACUAAAUACGAUGCCACCCUACCACUCAGGACUGGGGCCAUACCGGAGUACCACCGGCAUGCUGAGACUGUGAGGCGUAGUACCGGGCCCCCAAAGGUCACUACGCUGUCUUAGGAGGGUGUGGGUCCUCAUGCCCGUACCUCCCUACACUAUCCGCUAUCAACCUAGUAGUAGUGGCACCGCACUAGCUGGUCGUACAUCCGUCCCGCACCAUAAUAAGGCGAGUGGCGUGUAAGGCUUCCUACGAACCGGUUCUCAGAACAUCUCAGUCCAUAGGGUAACCGAACAGGACAUCUUCACGAGGGGCCAGCCGAUGCCCCUCUCGACGGGACACCCGGCUACCCCGUGCUAAACAGCACCUCCUAUCCCGGUGCUUCGUCCCACGAAGACACUCCACUCCGGGACCUGUCCCUGUCACAUGUACCCGCCACAGGUACCUCUCGUGGAGAACGCCCAGGUAGCGUCCUCCGGCAAGAGUUGUCCCCAGGACUCGUCGUAGAUCCUGCUCGGUCGACUCGACCCUCACCACACACCCAAGACACAUGCCAAGAUCUCCCCAAGUCCAUUAUCCAUUUCUUAUCCAGUUAUCGGCACCACGUGCCUUAUCCACUCACAUCCAAUCCUCCACAAUGCAUCACAUCACAGAUAUAAUGCGUAGUAGAAGCAGUAGCAAGUAGUAUGCAAGCGUCUAACCUAACAGCGGGUGUGCGAGGGUUAUAGGUUGCAACAAGGCAAUGGCUCACAAGCGUUUCUACCAUGCAACCUAUCUCAAUUUAUUUGCAUAAAAGUAAAGCACUAGCAUCUACAUUAUUGCAUGUCUAAUAGGAUUCUACGAGGUUGGGUGGGACGUGGCACCUGUCGAGUGACAUUUCCAAGAUCCUCAGUUCACUUGUAGUUGUACUCAUCCAAGGUCUUUCUCCUAUCUGCAUGUCCUUCCUUCAACGGGUCCUGAUCCGAUCAACGCUAACCCGGAAGCAACUACCUCAAAAGCGACAAAUACGGCGAAACAAUCAUACCACUAGACUUAGAAAGACUGCGAAAAGAGACGACAAAACACUGAAGAACAACUACACUAAAAGAGCACCGAAAGAAAAACAACUUAGCCCUCUCGGUGGAUGUCCGAUCCCUGGGCUAAAAGAACAGGAAUGGUUGUUCACUAAGUACAAGCUUGAGUUUUUGCCUAGCCGGUACUUCCCGGGUCGAUCAUGCCGACCUGUACGGCUUUAAUAACAAGGGCGUAGACCCUAACUUAUUCUAAGUAAACAGCACGGCUUACGGUCUUCCGAUCCGAGUGUCAUAGAGAUCGACAGGGAUCGAAAAGACUAUGAGCACGAGAAGUUCCGGUCUCUCUCAAUCCAUACGCCAUUGUAGUUGGCGAGAGCCAAGAGAGGGUGGAACAAAGAGAGAAGAAAAGGGGAGUGGUCUACUCCUUCCAAUCCACUUGCCAUGGUAAGAGACGGGGAAUCAGAAAGAGUGACACACAAGAACACGAGUGCUCAAACUACUUGUAGGGUACCACAACCAAGGUGCACUAAAUGCACCAAGACAUCCCUAGGGUUCUUAGCAGUGCGGUUGUCACCGCGAGAACCAAAGAAAUGCUACGGUUGAAUAGGUACAAACAUACAAGAAUUUAAACACGAGGAACCAAAAAGGCAAGAAAAGACACGGGCUUCACUUUCCAUUGAUCCGCUCGCCAAAGCAACAGCGGGAAUCGCAGAACUGGAAACAAAACAUCGAACAAGCAAAAGGGGCUCAAUCCACAUCUUACUGGAUCGACGGGGAUUGAGAACAAGAGAGAAGAAGAACGAAUCACACUCUUUCAACCAACUUGCCAUGGAACAAACGUCAGUUGGAGAAAUAAACACGACCCCACGAACUACACCAACUCAUAUCACUUCGCGACCUAGGUGCUUCUGAAUCGGCACAAGGUCAUUUCUAUAGUUCCAGGCAAUGUGGUUGUCACUGCGGGAACUACGGGAAAUGCCCGAGUCUAGGUGGCAUAGGCAUAUGAGACGGAUAAGAUAAACAUGCGAGAAGCAAGGUAAAGCCCGAUGACCAUGGCGAGGCGACUCGCGGCCAUGAGCUCCACCUAACGAGUUGGCUUCCGACUGUUCCACAAGGUUGCUCCUAAUAUGUAUCCCACUAGACUAGAUCACAGAGGACUCGAAGGUGCGGGUAAGACCCGCGUCGUUAUGAAUAUCGAGUCCGCAAUGAUCAAACCCUAGGGACGGGGAUAGGAGCCAACAACCGUAGUUCAACGAAGUCAACUAAACACGAGGAAUGCGUUACUCUCGACAUCGCGAUCACGGUCCAAUGACAAAUAACACACGGUCCAAUGACAAAUAACACACGGUCAACGACAACACGAGAGAAGGGACAUGCUUGGCAUUACGGCCAUGGCGAGACGAACUCGCGAUCGCAACGUCCAAACACAUCACUCUCUCAACCGGCUCGACGGCAUGGUCCACAGACACGACAAAUACACAAGGAAUCACGCCUCGAUCAUUAAUAACACAAAGGCACUAUAACAACCCGGAGUAGCACAUUUCCAUAGCGACCAAAAGAGAUAGAGAUAGAUAAAUAAAUAAUUAGACCGGCGCGAAGGCACGGCACAGGCAUGGAUAUGGUUAAAUCAUGUAACAAGUUCAUACAAUGAUACGAGAAAGGACAAGGGUUUUGCCGACGUCGGAGACGAUGUCGGCUAGGUUCAAGGUUCAACCUUGCUGACCACGAGGAAGGCGUAGACCAGCUGCAAGCCUGCUGUUGGCCGGGAUGUGCAGCAGGCAUCGGGAAGGCGUCGCAUCUUCGGCAAAACACAACGAGGCCACUGUUUCCCUGCACAGUGGAUGAAUUGCGGCACGAAGGCCGGUCUCAGCAAGGUGAACGCAAGAAGGGGAAAUCUUCGGUCUUGGCGAGGCUCACCGGUGCUGACGGCGCCACGGGCUCGGCGAGGGCGCGGUGGUCGAUGGGGAGCUCCGGGCGGCGUCGCGAGCUCUGGGGGCGGAGCGGUCGGCGUGGCCGAGGACGAGGCGCGGCUGCGACGGGCUCGCCACGGGCUUGGUCCGUGGCGUCGCGGUUGCAGGCGAUGUCGACGUCGCGAGCGCAGAGCGAACCGGUGGCGGAGACGGUGCCACGGCAGCACAGCUUCGGGACGAGGCCAUGGCGCGGUCGUGGGUGGCUUCGGUGUGAUCGUGCUCUGUGACGUCCGCGGCGAGCUCGUCGGCGAGGUGACGCAGUGGCGCUGGGCGGAGGGAGAAGGAGCAGAGGGAGGUGACUUGCGGCCGCUGGAUCGCGGAUGCUCCAAGCAGCCGCGUGCUCGCGCAGAGUGGCCGUGGCGAGGCUCGGGCGCAGGGGAAGGGGCGUGGGGGCGAGGUCGCGGCCACGGUCGCCGGGGUUCGGCCGGUUGACGUCGUCGCUGCCGUGUCGUGGUGGUUCGUCGUGGCGCCGGAGGUGGAGGUCGAGUUCGCAGCGCGGCGGUGCUGCUUGGGAGCAGAGGAGAAAGGGGAGGGCGGCGGCGUUGCGGGGAAGAAGAGGAGAGCGGCGGCUCGGGCUCUUAUAGCGCGGGCGCUAGGGCUUCGGGGUAGGGCGACCAUCCUCGGCGUCCGUGCCGUGGGCGGGCCGCGUGGCGUGAAUCGCGGGGCGCGCGUCGAGGGGAGAGGGGCAGGUGCGCGCAGAGGCACGGGUGCAGGGGGCGUGGGCGCGCCUCUGUCCACCCCGGAGCGGUGGCGGCGGCGCCUAAGGAGCAGCUGCUCCCUAGGGUUCAGGUGAGGGCGCG